Molecule: ribosomal RNA, 465 nt
Filed under: Vreelandella stevensii
Lineage: Bacteria; Pseudomonadati; Pseudomonadota; Gammaproteobacteria; Oceanospirillales; Halomonadaceae
Description: partial 16S ribosomal RNA
Rfam family: Bacterial small subunit ribosomal RNA
Source: RNAcentral
UCUACGGGAGGCAGCAGUGGGGAAUAUUGGACAAUGGGCGAAAGCCUGAUCCAGCCAUGCCGCGUGUGUGAAGAAGGCCUUCGGGUUGUAAAGCACUUUCAGUGGGGAAGAAAGCCUUGGGGCUAAUACCCUCGAGGAAGGACAUCACCCACAGAAGAAGCACCGGCUAACUCCGUGCCAGCAGCCGCGGUAAUACGGAGGGUGCGAGCGUUAAUCGGAAUUACUGGGCGUAAAGCGCGCGUAGGCGGUCUGAUAAGCCGGUUGUGAAAGCCCCGGGCUCAACCUGGGAACGGCAUCCGGAACUGUCAGGCUAGAGUGCAGGAGAGGAAGGUAGAAUUCCCGGUGUAGCGGUGAAAUGCGUAGAGAUCGGGAGGAAUACCAGUGGCGAAGGCGGCCUUCUGGACUGACACUGACGCUGAGGUGCGAAAGCGUGGGUAGCAAACAGGAUUAGAUACCCGUGUAGUC